AGAGUUUGAUCAUGGCUCAGAAUCAACGCUGGGCGGCGCGCCUAACACAUGCAAGUCGCACGAGAAAGGCUCCUUCGGGGGCUGAGUACAGUGGCGCACGGGUGAGUAACACGUGGAUACCUGCCCUCAAGUGGGGAAUAACUUUGGGAAACCGGGGCUAAUACCGCAUACGUUCGAGAGAAGAAAGCAGCAAUGCGCUUGAGGAGGGGUCCGCGGCUGAUUAGCUAGUUGGUGGGGUAAAAGCCUACCAAGGCAAAGAUCAGUAGCCGGCCUGAGAGGGCACACGGCCACACUGGCACUGAGACACGGGCCAGACUCCUACGGGAGGCAACAGUGGGGAAUCUUGCACAAUGGAGGAAACUCUGAUGCAGCGACGCCGCGUGAGCGAAGAAGCCUUUCGGGGUGUAAAGCUCUUACGCCAGGGACGAUAAUGACGGUACCUGGAGAAGCAGCUGCGGCUAACUACGUGCCAGCAGCCGCGGUAAUACGUAGGCAGCAAGCGUUGUUCGGAAUUACUGGGCGUAAAGGGUGCGUAGGCGGCGCUCUAAGUUUGGUGUGAAAUCUCCCGGCUUAACUGGGAGGGUGCACUGAAAACUGGGGCGCUCGAGUAUGGGAGAGGAAAGCGGAAUUCCUGGUGUAGCGGUGAAAUGCGUAGAGAUCAGGAGGAACACCUGCGGUGUAGACGGCUUUCUGGACCAUAACUGACGCUGAGGCACGAAAGCGUGGGUAGCAAACAGGAUUAGAUACCCUGGUAGUCCACGCCCUAAACGAUGCAUACUUGGUGUGGGUUCUUCACUGGAUCC
This 803-nucleotide ribosomal RNA is filed under the name uncultured Acidobacteriaceae bacterium. Its description in RNAcentral is "bacterial SSU rRNA". It matches the Rfam family "Bacterial small subunit ribosomal RNA", at positions 8 to 841 of the family's 1533-position model. Lineage: Bacteria; Pseudomonadati; Acidobacteriota; Terriglobia; Terriglobales; Acidobacteriaceae. The record is from RNAcentral.